UACGUAGGGUGCGAGCGUUGUCCGGAAUUAUUGGGCGUAAAGAGCUUGUAGGCGGUCUGUCGCGUCUGCUGUGAAAAUCCGGGGCUCAACCCCGGACUUGCAGUGGGUACGGGCAGGCUAGAGUUCGGUAGGGGAGACUGGAAUUCCUGGUGUAGCGGUGAAAUGCGCAGAUAUCUGGAGGAACACCGGUGGCGAAGGCGGCAUCCUGGACCGGUAUUGACGCUGAGGCGCGAAAGCCAGGGGAGCAAACGGG
Molecule: ribosomal RNA, 253 nt
Filed under: uncultured bacterium
Lineage: Bacteria
Description: partial 16S ribosomal RNA
Rfam family: Bacterial small subunit ribosomal RNA
Source: RNAcentral